GGACUCGUUCAUGGCGGCUAGCGAGAGGAUUAGCCGAGUGGAUGUCGGAGUCGCAGGUGACGCAGAGUGAGGCGGCGUCGGCUUUGCAGGUGACGGCGGCGGGAGCUUGUUCGCAGACUUCACAGAGGUACACGCGCUCGUGACGCGUGAAGGAGUGGAUGCUUGUGUCGCAAGUGAUGCAUAAGAAGGCUGAGUCGAAUCGGCAGUACACGGCGGCGGAAGCUGAUUUACAAGCGUCACAGGAACGCGCCGCCGCGCCCCAGCCGCCGGAGAGUGGUUUGAUGCUCUCUAAGCCGAAUCCCAUUUACUUCUUCUCUCUCUACUCUUUUUU
RNAcentral lists this long non-coding RNA (331 nucleotides) under Brassica rapa (field mustard). RNAcentral's name for it is "long non-coding RNA (BRAP_LNC000887)". Lineage: Eukaryota; Viridiplantae; Streptophyta; Magnoliopsida; Brassicales; Brassicaceae. The record is from RNAcentral.